UUUGGAACAAGACAAAGUUUACAUUGAAAACCUAAACAAGCAAAUAGAGCCAGGAAAAUCUAGGAGAAGGAGGAACGAGGAGGAAAGAAUGGGAGAUCCAAACCUGUUGCCUUGGGACUUAGCACAGCUGCCCACACUGGCCAGGAACAGAGGGACAGAGGGACAGAACGGAAGGCCCUGGAUCAGGACCCUGACGUACACUCCCAGGCCUGGUUUAGCUUUUAGACUUUUGAAGGCAGGGGAUGGAAUGUUGAAGGCCCUGGUCACACAGCCAAGAAUAAAGCCCUAGGUCUAGGCCUCCCCUCUCCUGUUCCUGUGGGCCUGGAGUCUGGACUUUGUCCUCUCCACUCUCUGGGGAAGACACAGGGCGGAGGGGGAAGACAGGAAGAGGCUCUUGCCUGGGCAGUGAUGGCACCAGUGUUUCCUGGAGCCUGGGCUUCUGGGUACUGCCUGCUCCUGGUUUGCCUCCUGCCCCGCCUCCUGCCUCCAGCUCCGUUGUGGCUUCCUGCUUCCUCGGGAACAGUGCUUCCUCAUGGAUUGAGGAGCAGGAGGCCUUGCCAUGGCCUUGACCUCAGGGUGACACACAUGCGGACCAGCCCUGAGGUGGAGCACCUGCUCAGCUUUCUCCUGGCCUUCAGGCUCCUCCUUGAGGUCCCCCAGGUCUACAACAGCAGCCACAGUUCCACUGCCCAAGCAAGGAGCCCUCUAGUCAUCAUGACCGGCCUCUCCCACAGGACACUGCAUUGUCUCCACAGGGCUCCUUCCCCACUGUUUGCUGGACAGGAUCCUGUGUGCUCCUCUGCUCAAAACUCUUUCAAUGUUCUAAUAUUGAUUGUGGUCAUGAUUGCAUAACUAAAAAUUACUAAGAACCAUUGAAUGGCUCACUUUAAACAAGUGACUUGUAUGUUAUGUUAGUUGUAUCUGAAUAAAGCUGUUCUCUUUUU
This is a long non-coding RNA of Marmota monax (woodchuck), 944 nucleotides long. RefSeq lists it as uncharacterized. NCBI's taxonomy places the organism in Eukaryota, Metazoa, Chordata, Mammalia, Rodentia, Sciuridae. The record is from RefSeq and is a predicted model, not a curated record. The transcript is spliced from 2 exons.